RNAcentral lists this ribosomal RNA (364 nucleotides) under uncultured bacterium. Its description in RNAcentral is "partial 16S ribosomal RNA". It matches the Rfam family "Bacterial small subunit ribosomal RNA", at positions 338 to 699 of the family's 1533-position model. The record is from RNAcentral.
CCUACGGGAGGCAGCAGUGAGGAAUAUUGGUCAAUGGACGCAAGUCUGAACCAGCCAUGCCGCGUGCAGGAAGACGGCUCUAUGAGUUGUAAACUGCUUUUGUACGAGGGUAAACGCAGAUACGUGUAUCUGUCUGAAAGUAUCGUACGAAUAAGGAUCGGCUAACUCCGUGCCAGCAGCCGCGGUAAUACGGAGGAUUCAAGCGUUAUCCGGAUUUAUUGGGUUUAAAGGGUGCGUAGGCGGUCGGAUAAGUUAGAGGUGAAAUCCCCAGGCUCAACUUCGGAAUUGCCUCUGAUACUGUUCGGAUAGAGAGUAGUUGCGGUAGGCGGAAUGUAAGGUGUAGGGGUGAAAUGCUUAGAGAUCA